RNAcentral lists this unclassified non-coding RNA (258 nucleotides) under uncultured fungus. Its description in RNAcentral is "sequence contains ITS2". The stretch from base 1 to 52 matches the Rfam family "5.8S ribosomal RNA", at positions 103 to 154 of the family's 154-position model. RNAcentral also lists the same sequence under 2 other names. Lineage: Eukaryota; Fungi. The record is from RNAcentral.
AACGCACAUUGCGCCCGCUGGUAUUCCGGCGGGCAUGCCUGUUCGAGCGUCAUUUCAACCCUCAAGCCCCCGGGUUUGGUGUUGGGGAUCGGCUCUGCCUUACGGCGGUGCCGCCCCCGAAAUACAUUGGCGGUCUCGCUGCAGCCUCCAUUGCGUAGUAGCUAACACCUCGCAACUGGAACGCGGCGCGGCCAUGCCGUAAAACCCCAACUUCUGAAUGUUGACCUCGGAUCAGGUAGGAAUACCCGCUGAACUUAA